UACGUAGGCAGCAAGCGUUGUUCGGAGUUACUGGGCGUAAAGGGCGCGUAGGCGGUGCGGUAAGUCACCUGUGAAACCUCUGGGCUUAACUCAGAGCCUGCAGGCGAAACUACCGUGCUUGAGUGUGGGAGAGGUGCGUGGAAUUCCCGGUGUAGCGGUGAAAUGCGUAGAUAUCGGAAGGAACACCUGUGGCGAAAGCGGCUCACUGGACCAUAACUGACGCUGAGGCGCGAAAGCUAGGGGAGCAAACAGG
This 253-nucleotide ribosomal RNA is filed under the name uncultured prokaryote. Its description in RNAcentral is "partial 16S ribosomal RNA". It matches the Rfam family "Bacterial small subunit ribosomal RNA", at positions 524 to 776 of the family's 1533-position model. The record is from RNAcentral.